GACGAACGCUGGCGGCGUGCCUAAUACAUGCAAGUAGAACGCACAGUUUAUACCGUAGCUUGCUACACCAUAAACUGUGAGUUGCGAACGGGUGAGUAACGCGUAGGUAACCUGCCUGGUAGCGGGGGAUAACUAUUGGAAACGAUAGCUAAUACCGCAUAAUAUUGAUUAUUGCAUGAUAAUUGAUUGAAAGAUGCUAUUGCAUCACUACCAGAUGGACCUGCGUUGUAUUAGCUAGUAGGUGAGGUAACGGCUCACCUAGGCGACGAUACAUAGCCGACCUGAGAGGGUGAUCGGCCACACUGGGACUGAGACACGGCCCAGACUCCUACGGGAGGCAGCAGUAGGGAAUCUUCGGCAAUGGACGAAAGUCUGACCGAGCAACGCCGCGUGAGUGAAGAAGGUUUUCGGAUCGUAAAGCUCUGUUGUAAGAGAAGAACGGGUGUGAGAGGGAAAGUUCACACUGGACG
RNAcentral lists this ribosomal RNA (470 nucleotides) under Streptococcus gordonii. RNAcentral's name for it is "bacterial SSU rRNA". It matches the Rfam family "Bacterial small subunit ribosomal RNA", at positions 28 to 474 of the family's 1533-position model. The record is from RNAcentral. Lineage: Bacteria; Bacillati; Bacillota; Bacilli; Lactobacillales; Streptococcaceae.